Non-coding RNA from Sturnus vulgaris (Common starling), 7091 nucleotides. NCBI's taxonomy places the organism in Eukaryota, Metazoa, Chordata, Aves, Passeriformes, Sturnidae. The record is from RefSeq and is a predicted model, not a curated record.
CUCAGUGAGAAAUUACACAGUAAUUGUUCUUUAAUUUAUGCAGAUGACUUUCUGAGUACCUGGGUUCUGUAGCAAUGGAGCUCUUUUAACCUGCUUGGAAGAAGCUUUUUUUACUACAGAACUUCAGUAGUAAACAAACUUCAGUAGUAAACAUUCAUGGUAUAUGUAAUUAAAAUACAGCUCACUGACGGGGUAAUGUUCUAAAGGAGAAGUUUUCUGCUUUAUACUUUCCUAGUGAGAAAUCAAAGUUGAGCAAGUUCCUUUAGGCAGUGCUAUUUAAAAACUUAACUUCUGGUAGGAAUACCUGGAGUGGCUUUUAUUUUUCAAUAAUUUUUUAGAUAUUAAUCCACAAAUCCUGGUGUUCUCAUAGCUGGAUCUUUGUGUGUGGCAUUUAUGAAAUUGUACAGCCAAAACCAUUCAGAGGACUUUAUUUAGCACAGCUUUAUUAUUUAUUUUUAAUUUGUUUUUAUUUUUAAUCUAAAUUACAGUACUGUGAUACAUUGUAUUAAAAGAUGCCAUAUAAAAAGCUUUGCUGUCUUGUUUUUUUUCGGGAUUUCUUCGAGGUUUUUUUUUUUUUUUGACUUAGUGGCUAAAUGCUUCUAGGAGUGAUUCUCCAAUGAAAUACUUUAAUCAUCAUAGACUUAAAAUACUUAUUUUUGUGCAGCCAAACAUCAGUUUGUUUACCCACACUUUUCUUCUCUUCACCCAGUGCUCUGCUCCUUUUGCAAAGGGCAGCCAUUCCAUGACUUUGUAUAAAUACCUUCUUUUAGUGUGUUGUCUCUUUUAGUGUGUAAUUUUGGAUUAAUGUCAUGCAGAGUUGGUGCAUUCUUCAAGUAGUUAAUAAUGAUAUGCAACUUAGUGGUUGUGUACAAAUCCCUGUGGAGUUCUAAUGGUACAUGGGUGCUGGGGAUAACUGAUGAAUUCCAGGUAAUGUAUGCAUCAUAUGGAAAAAAGUGAGAUCUGCUUGCAGGGCUGUGGGAUGGUGCUUGUGAAUAUCCAUCUAUCCAUCCAGCCUGUGUAUUACUUUGUCUGAGGAAUUGUAGGGCUUCUCAUUUUUUAUCCCUUUAAUUAUUACUCAGUAGGGAACCUUCCUGACACUUUGGUAUGAAGUUUUAUUAUAAUGCAGACUUAUUUUAAGUCUUAAUAUUGUAACAGUUUCCCCAACAGCCCCUGGUGGAACUCGGUGGAGGGUGUUGAUAUUGGGCUCACCAGCUGUAGGUCUUUGCUGGGAAUUGGAAGUGAAGGAGUGUAAUAGAGGUAUUUUCUCAUUUCUGAAAAGAAAUAACAUUCUGUAGAUUUACAAGGGUUCUCACAUUAUUUUUUUUUUCAAAUGCAUCUAGCAAGUAUUCUCAGUCAAAUCAAAUCUGAGCUUGUACUUAAGUAAAUUUUAUCUGAUCAGGACUGAAGCACUUGCUCCAUGAUGUUCUGAGAGCUCUUGGUUCGUAUUGAGGGCACUGUCAGCUGAGGUUCUUAAAACAGUAUGAAAUUCUUAACUGCAUAUUUUAUUACUGCUAGGGAUACAAAUGGGCCAGUGCCAAAGCCUGAAUUUAGAACCCAGUCCAAGAAUUCAAUGCAAACAUAGCAAAUGCUUGGCCAGAGCUGGUGGCUUUCCAGCACUCCAGGUCCGAGGCCAUUCAUUGUCAUUGGUGGCAUCUCAGCAUUUGAGAGAGUUUGCUCUUUAUUCUGUGAGUACUGAAAGCCUCCCAAAAGCAGUCUAAGGAGCUUAAUGAGGUUAAAAACCUAAGAUUGGCAGGGGUUUGUGAUCUCCUGAGUAGACUUUUUCCAGAGAUGAAAUUUUCUCUUCAUUUUUAAGAAAAUCAUGGACUAACAGAAGUUUUCCACAGAGAUUAAGAAUUAAUGAAGGAAAAAAAAAUCCCAAACAAUUCACUGCUAAAAGUCCUUUUAUGCCUUACAGGGCUGUUAUUCUCUAGUACCAGAAAUACUAUUUUGUUUUUAGCUACAUACAGAUCUGGGGGGUAAUGGAAGAUUACAUGAUGCUUAUAUAUUUUUUUAAAAAUUCUAUGUUGAGCUGUGAUCACUUCCUGGGUUUGUGUAUUUUCCUUUAAAAAAUGUUUUUAUUGAAACAAAAAAUGUGUCCUACAAGUUUAGGAUAGAUGUCUCCGAUUUUGAGCAGCUAUACUUUAGUUCCCUUUUUUUUUUUUUUUUUUUUUUUAAGUUUUAGAGAAGAGUCCCUGCUAAGAAAUGUCAAACAGUACAUGCUUAAUUAGUUGUUCUGGGAUCACUGUAAAAUAUAAGUCUAAACCAGCCACAUGUAAUGCGACAGCAGUUGCUGAAAUUUCAGUAUGUUACAUAGUAAUAGGAAGUUAGAGCUGAGCACAUCUCAGAAAAAAUAUGUAUGGGUGUGAAAAACAUCAGUCAUCAGUUAAGUGGAGUGUAGCAGUUGUGUAUGAGCACAUGGAAGCACUCCAGGAAAGAAGGAGGAACAAGAAAUAUUACUUAACCCAAAUUUAGCUUCAGGUACUUAAAGGUGUUUAUCCGCCAAUGAAAUUUGGCAAGAAGCUCAGAAUUUAAAAUAAUCUCAAACAUAAAUGCACACGUGUAAUUAUUGAGGGCUGUGAAUGAACCUGGAAAAUAAGCAAAUUCUGCAUUUCAUUGGAAAGUUGAGUUUUUAUAAAGUUGAAAAAUGUCAGACCACAUAAGAGCCUACAAAAUAUUAUUCAUUUCUCCACCUCCAUCUAUUCCUCAUUCUUUUUGUAUCCCAUAAGCUCUGCCUUUUCAACUUCAGUGAAGGUCUCCUUUGUCUCUAUUACUCAAGUAAGAUUAUGUUUCUUCUUUACUGUUCCGUGCUCUUCUGAAUGUGUAUUGCGCAACUUUGUUCAGGAGGAGAGGGAGUGAUAAAGACCUGCCUGCAAAAAACUGAGGUCCAGGUGUUGCACUUUAGCAUCAGUUUAUGAAAGUCACACAGGCAAAGAUGUGCAAAUCCCACAUCCCCCAGGAUGGAGAGAUGCAGCAGCUGUGUGGGGAACGCUCUAGCCUUGGAAAGGGAAAUCAGAGUCCUGAAUGGGCACAAGGAAUGGCCUGAAAAUAUUCUUCAGGCAUUCUUCAGGCUUCAGUAAACCCAGCAAUAACAGAAAUGAGAUGUUAGUCACAGGCCUUUAUGGAAGGGUAAGUUGCUAUAUAUAGAGAAAUUUGGCAGCUUUUGUUUCUGCUGCCUGUACAAGGAAGAGAUGGAAACUUCAGCAGAAAAGGUGUGAAGAGUAGCUAUGAACCUUCAUGGGGUUGAAUGAUUUCAUUCAAGGCAUUUGUCUCAAAAGACAAGGAGCAGAGAGGGGGAAAAAACCCCAGUAGGUACCACAUUGUUCAGGAUGAUUAAUUGCAGUAGAGAGGGUGGGAGACUUGGAUAGGAGUUGGAAUUGAAAAGUUGCUAGAAAAAAGAACUCUUUUAACAUUUGCUUGGUCUGUGUCCAGUGUCCCUCUUUUUAUCCAUGUAAAUAGGAAAAGAUUGUGGCACAUCACUAUUGGUUUUGGUUUGUUGUCCAGACACUUAUUUUGCUGACUUGAGUGGCAAUUUUGCAUUCUAUCCAAAGUUAAAAUAUUUCUCUCUGGCUUUAGAAAAACAGUUCCUCAAAUAGAUAGCCACUUAUGUUUCUUUAGAGUAGUUGAGGGCUAGUGGACUCCUGUGAAAGUUCCCCUUUUUUAAGACGGGCCUCAGACACUAAAGGAAACAAAUAUUUGUAGUAAAAUGGGCAUAAUUCUAGUCCACAACAGGAACCAGAAGUUGGUAAAAAUGGAAGCUGAACUUACGUAAUUGUUGUGUUUUUCUUGGAAACACAGCUUUCUAAAUGACACAACUUUGAAAGGGCAGGAGUACAAGGAAGAUAUUUUUUUAGUUUGAGUUUGAUGGAAGGGCUUCCUAAAUACAAAUGACCUGUGUAAAUUCCAAGCUAAAAGCAUGAAUAGAAUUUCUUAGGUUUAUUCAAGCUUUAUGAAAGGAGGUAAGAAUCCAGUAUAUGACAGAAAGAAGAGAAAGCUGUAUGAUGCUAGAGUGUGCUGAUGGUCCUACUUGCAGCUCUCAGCUUUACUAGAUGGAGUUUUAAUAGAAACAGGUAAGCUUGGCACAGCUAUGAUCCCACACUGUAAUACAAGCAUCACAGUGUCUUCUUUCCUGUUAAUCAUAAAUGUCAAUGCCUUGCUUGCUUUUACUUCGAAGUAAGGUAAUUGAGAAGUCUGGUAUGCCUUUUGAUUCAAAUAUCACAUUUUCUGGCAACUGCUGAGUUGGAGAGCUACAUAACUUAAAGAUUUUUCCGUGUGAGAUUUUCAUCUAUUUCUGUGAUCUACCACCCGUAUCACUUACAAGAAGCUAGCACAGAGUGAAUGAAAAUUAAGAGGUGACCCUUACUUAGGCACAGACUUUAUGUUUUUAAAAUCUGUGGUCUAAGAAGUGAAAGGUAGAUUAUAUAUGUAAAAAGAAAAAUUAUGGUGCCAUGGAAAAGAAGUAAAAAGGCAUGGCAGUGGUGAAACCUGCCUUGUAGCCUUACUGUAUGGAAAUUCCUGGGUGACAGUGUGGAGGUGGACACUGAAGCUGUAGAGGGAUGAGGUUUACACCUGAAGGGUUUUGAGUGUGUUUGAAUGAAUCCCAGAUGGCAGAAGCACUCCUGGCUCCAUAUAAGGCUCUGAGCAUGGAGUGAUCUAUAACUGUAGAUUUGCAAGUGUCCUGAGCCUCCAGACACCCGUCUAUACAGCAUGCCUGUGCACCCAAAGCAGCUCACUAAUAUCAGUCUGACCCCAUUUCUCAUUAUAAUAUUUCUGGUAUGGUGGCAUCUGCUGUUCUUCAGAGAGCAAAGAUGAAAUACUGGCACCUCUAACAUCUGUAGGCCCAUGUAACACAGUUUUUUCUUGUAUUGCAGAACAUGAAAAUGGGUGCUUCUAUUGAGAUCCUUCACAGCACAGUAUGCCUUCAUGGAUGAGUAGUUUUAGAUAGAUAUAUGGUUUAAGUGGGAUUGGAGAAUGCUGUAUUUAAUUUUUUAUUAAUGUGUGAGAUACCAGCAGCUACUAAAUUUGUAGUUAUAUCUAAUUAUGGGCUUAUUUGUUGAGACAUGCAAAAACCAUACCCCAUCUAAGGCAGGAACUGAGUUGUGGCUCUCAGUGCAACUUCAGCUGUCUCUCCUCAGAAACUCCAAAUAGGCUUUUUUGUUUUCAGUCAGGCUGAUGUUAGGAGAGUAGUGCAGUGGGAAGCUGGAGCCGCUAAAUUAAGUGAGGAGAAAAUGCACCUCUUGGAAGAGGUGGUAGUACUAAGUAGCUGAAAAUCAUCAAAUUGAAAACUUGAGACAUUUGGAUAAUACCUUUCCCUCUUCUGACUUAAUAAGAGGACAAGGAGUUCAUCUAAAUUAGCAUGAAGCCCUGAGACCACACACAAUUAUACUGAGAAAAUAAGAAAUCUGAGUGCCCGGACUGGUCUUUAUUUUGUUUAAAACACAACUACCUCAAAUAUGUAUCAGGUCCAAGGCUGUGUAAGCAUCUUUUGACCACAGUCUACUGGUCAGCAACGUUCAUUGUUGCCAGUAACUUCCACUCCUGCAGGAAUACAUUAGUUAUAAAAAGUCUAAAGACAGAGGUAGAGUGUUUAUUGUUGUUCACCCCCUCUGGGAACGCAGUGCAGUGGGUUCUGCUGCAGGUGUGUGUAGCUCAGGGAUUUGUCCUCUUGACACUGCCUGUGUGACAGCUGGCACUGCCUGCAGGAAGUGUGCUGUCCUCUACUACCAUGGUCCAGCUUGGACAAGAGGAAAACAGGCUGGACCUGUACCUGGGAGAGCACAAUCUCAGUGCUGAAGACUUCUCAGAAUGUAGGUGCAGCUGUAAUGCAGAAACUCCUGGAUUAUGUGAUUUAUUGCUCAGAGGCUGUUAGUCAAUAUAAGACCUAGCCAAGAAAUUUAAUCUCUUUGGGCCCAUGUUUGAUCACAUUUUGAAUUCUUUCUGGUUUUGAAAUGGAAUCUAAACAACUCUGACAAUGUCCUUGCCAUUACAUUUAUUUGGUCUCCUGUCAGCUUUUACUGUAACUCUUUUUCUAACUGCCUUAGAGUUUUUACUUUAAAAUUUCUGACAAAGUUCUACAAAAUGGAUUGAAUGUUGUCAUUGUACUCUGAUAAAUUUGUCUGUGAAGGAUAGCUUCUUUCUGGCUUUCAAGGGACCGAGGUCUGUGGAGUCUGCUCUCUUACUGGCAUUGUUCAGUAUUUAUUUCUGUAUUUUUAAUGGCGUCUUAAUUGGGCUUUUUGCUAGCUUUACGUAGGAAGGUAACAAUUUAUAGCAGACUUAUGGCAUUGUAGUAAAUGAAUUGUAAUGUUAUUCCUAUUACUUACCUUUUUAUGAUACUGGAAACUCAGACUUAAGAGCUUACUGCAAAAACAUAGAAGGAUUUUCCUUGGCUCUGAACCACUUGCACCUUCUGUAUUCAUCAUAAUUAACAGCAGGGAUAAAGAGCAAGCCCUGAUCGUGGGGAGGACUCAUGCAAGGCUGCCUUCUUUGUCAUUUGCCAUGUUGAUAGAGUUACUUAGACUGUAUUUUAAGUUCAUGCCAAUUCCAUCAUGAAAAACUUGCAGCCUGAAGGCUCAAAAAUCUCUCUGCAUGGAAGUCUUCUAAAUGUCUAAAUUCUCUAUGAAUAUUCAACUUGUCUACCAAGUUUUGCUUCUUGAGUAUGAUUUAUUUAGGAGAAAGUGAAAACUUUCCAACUCUGCUUUACAGAUUUUGUUGGCUAUAGUUUUCAAGUCUUAAAGCUGCCUCUGUUAGCAUGUAGUGAAUUAACUGUACUUGGAAAUCUAUGCAGCACUGGAAGAUGCCUUAUAAAGUGUGUGUAAAUAAGAAAGAAGAAUGUAAACCCUACAAUUUCAGACAAAUCUUCAAUGCUUUUCUUGAGGUUCAUUAAAUUCUUGCAGGCAAAAGCAUUGAGUGUGGAUCUGUGUUUUAGAAGAGAAUACUUCAUCUGUUCUUCCACUUGUAAUGCUGUUGUAUAUACCUGCAUCUAUGUGAAGAUCUUAAUACUGUAGGCACCAAAGCAUAUCAGGCCAUCUUUGAAAACUCUUGGGUGGGAUGGAGCCCUGGUUUUGUUGGAGGUAGAUUUUCCUGAGUUCAGGGAA